AACGUGUUUUACAUAAGUGUCCUCUUAUUUUUGCUGUUGAUUUACACAAACGGUAUGAGAAUCAUCGAUGAGUGAAAGCAGCAAAGAAAGGACACAUACUAACACGGACACCAGUCGCUGGACGUUCGAACUUGGCAGGACAUCCUUAGGACGGAGGAAACCCUCACGUGGGGAGACCGUGGAAAUACCAAAUACUGCACCUGUCCUGGAGUUAACAAGCACGUGGCAAAGGGAUGCUGGGUGAUCUUUUCUGUUCUCCGAAGCCUCAAGCGGAAUCCUGUGCUAUACCAUAUCAGCCCCCCCCCCAGUCAGUGCGAUUUCUGCUACCCAAAACAUCAAUUCUCAUCUGGGGUUGGGCCUGCAUUAUGACUGUAUUUUUAACACAAUAGAGAGUAUGAGCAAUACCCUCUUCAGUGUGAAAUGCCAAAGCUUGUAAUAUGACCUUAAUAUCAGUGGAAUCAAGCCCCUUUUAAUGUGCGGUUCUGUAUGUUAGUGUCUAAUGGUUCUCUCAGAAUAAUAUGUGGGCAAAGUCCCGGGUGGCUGUAAUAAUUGGACUGCUUGAGAGCAGAGAAACAAUCAAAGAAAAUGAUACCAGGCUUCCCACAAUAAAAGGUUUUUUCUUCAUUUG
This is a long non-coding RNA of Brienomyrus brachyistius, 628 nucleotides long. RefSeq lists it as uncharacterized. NCBI's taxonomy places the organism in Eukaryota, Metazoa, Chordata, Actinopteri, Osteoglossiformes, Mormyridae. The transcript has 3 exons. The record is from RefSeq and is a predicted model, not a curated record.